This 668-nucleotide ribosomal RNA is filed under the name Salmonella enterica subsp. enterica. RNAcentral's name for it is "bacterial SSU rRNA". It matches the Rfam family "Bacterial small subunit ribosomal RNA", at positions 865 to 1533 of the family's 1533-position model. The record is from RNAcentral. Lineage: Bacteria; Pseudomonadati; Pseudomonadota; Gammaproteobacteria; Enterobacterales; Enterobacteriaceae.
UAGACCGCCUGGGGAGUACGGCCGCAAGGUUAAAACUCAAAUGAAUUGACGGGGGCCCGCACAAGCGGUGGAGCAUGUGGUUUAAUUCGAUGCAACGCGAAGAACCUUACCUGGUCUUGACAUCCACGGAAGUUUUCAGAGAUGAGAAUGUGCCUUCGGGAACCGUGAGACAGGUGCUGCAUGGCUGUCGUCAGCUCGUGUUGUGAAAUGUUGGGUUAAGUCCCGCAACGAGCGCAACCCUUAUCCUUUGUUGCCAGCGAUUAGGUCGGGAACUCAAAGGAGACUGCCAGUGAUAAACUGGAGGAAGGUAGGGAUGACGUCAAGUCAUCAUGGCCCUUACGACCAGGGCUACACACGUGCUACAAUGGCGCAUACAAAGAGAAGCGACCUCGCGAGAGCAAGCGGACCUCAUAAAGUGCGUCGUAGUCCGGAUUGGAGUCUGCAACUCGACUCCAUGAAGUUGGAAUCGCUAGUAAUCGUGGAUCAGAAUGCCACGGUGAAUACGUUCCCGGGCCUUGUACACACCGCCCGUCACACCAUGGGAGUGGGUUGCAAAAGAAGUAGGUAGCUUAACCUUCGGGAGGGCGCUUACCACUUUGUGAUUCAUGACUGGGGUGAAGUCGUAACAAGGUAACCGUAGGGGAACCUGCGGUUGGAUCACCUCCUUA